UCCGUAGGUGAACCUGCGGAAGGAUCAUUACCCUUCUAUCAGGGGAUGGGCGCCAGCCUUCGGGGCUCUUGCUUCGCUUGGCUGCGUCUGUCUCUUCUGAUUCUACCCAUGUCUUUUGCGCACCCUUUGUUUCCUUGGUGGGCUUGCCUGCCUGUAGGACACACCCAAACCACUUGUAAUUGCAGUCAGCGUCAGUACACAAUGUAAUUAUUACAACUUUCAACAACGGAUCUCUUGGUUCUAGCAUCGAUGAAGAACGCAGCGAAAUGCGAUAAGUAGUGUGAAUUGCAGAAUUCAGUGAAUCAUCGAAUCUUUGAACGCACAUUGCGCCCCUUGGUAUUCCAUGGGGCAUGCCUGUUCGAGCGUCAUUUGUACCCUCAAGCUUUGCUUGGUGUUGGGUGUUUGUCCACUGCCCUUGUGCAGGACGGACUCGCCUUAAAACAAUUGGCAGCCGGCAGAUUGGCCUGGAGCGCGGCACAUUUUGCGCCCCUGGUCGACACUGUUGGCAUCCAUCAAGACCUUCUUUUAGCUCUUGACCUCGGAUCAGGUAGGGAUACCCGCUGAACUUAAGCAUAUCAAUAAGCGGAGGAA
RNAcentral lists this ribosomal RNA (591 nucleotides) under uncultured fungus. RNAcentral describes it as "eukaryotic LSU rRNA". The stretch from base 215 to 368 matches the Rfam family "5.8S ribosomal RNA". The record is from RNAcentral. Lineage: Eukaryota; Fungi.